UUCUGAAGGGCAAUUUUUGUGAAUGAACUUUGCCGUUGUUGUAUACCAAAAAAUUGAUUGUACUAGCUCCCCGCUCUGGUUCGCCGUGCUCCUCCGGCAGCGAGGUAGAUCUCCGAGCGUGAAGUUUGGCUACUGGGUAGAGGUUUUUGAUUCAUCAACAAAACCAUGGCCCUCCUCCGGCUAGCGAUGACGGACCUCCGAAGUUGCAGGAAUCGAAGACGCGCAACGCAGCGCAGCGAAUAGGGGUGCAAGCCGAGUGAGCGGCGGCGGCGGUGCAAGCCGAGCGAGGCCGGAACAACCAUCUAUAUCUCUCCGAAGAGCAGGGAGCAGCGGCGAUAAUUGACUCGGAUCCAACGAACGAUGCUUCAAAAGCAAUUCAUGGAAUGAAUGGGCCCAUCAACACAAAAAAGGGGAAGAAAUGAAAUUCAUCUCACUUAAAGACUACAACAUGAUAUUUAACAUUAGAUAGGGUCAAAAUGAAAUUUUAAAGAAGACCCACUAACAAAGCAGCAACCUCUGCCAGAGAGGACAGGCUAAUGCUGCGCCUCAUUGUGACAGGCACUUCCUAAAACUCACCUUUUGAAAGGUAGCCUAUUUGUCAUACUUCAGAUGCACUUUAAAAGUGUUGUCUAAUGUAUCUAAAACCAAAUAUAAACCAACACUUUAGUAAAUUUUUAUCCCCUUUUCACCAACACUUAAACGUGACUGGCUUCCUUUCUCCCUUUUCCCCUUCGCGCGCCAUUGAGCUUCACCAAAAAUCAGAGAAAGGUCACCCUCACGCCGUCACUCAUCAUCCUUUUCCCCUCUUCCCCACGCCGUCACUCAUCACCCUCACGCCGUCACCGUCGCCCCUCUUCCCCGCUCCCCACUCUCCACUCUCCACUCACUACUCACGCACACCACUUCGCUACUGGAGAAUCGUCGCUCCUCUUCAUCCUUCUGCUCUGGCUGUCACUUCGAACUCACCAUCGGGAAGAACCGCGUUCAUCCUCUCUUCGCUCAUCGUCGUCGAGAAGGGGUGUUCUCAAGAACAGGGCUAUUAUAAUGGCAUGUGUCUGCAACAGUGCUACUCUAUGAAUUUGCUUCAUCUUACGUUUUGCUUACUCUGGUUUGUGCAUGCCUUCAAUUUUGGUUCUUAUGAUUUUGUGUGUGUGUGUUCAGCUGCUUGAAAAUGAAAUCAUUAAUUAGUGUUUAUUCAGUUCUGUUCUAUUCUGAAUAAACCUUUGAAUUCCAUUAUAUUGUUUAUUUGAUGUUGUCGUGAAUUGUGAUAAGACAACUGGAAAAUCAUACACAAAAUUGUACUGAUAUUAGGUGUGUUGUAGUGUUGAGUUGAGAAUCUUGAUGCGUAUUAGAAAGUAGUAUUAUGACACUGACUUCA
Molecule: long non-coding RNA, 1378 nt
Organism: Arachis stenosperma
Lineage: Eukaryota; Viridiplantae; Streptophyta; Magnoliopsida; Fabales; Fabaceae
Exons: 3
Source: RefSeq, a predicted model, not a curated record